RNAcentral lists this non-coding RNA (21 nucleotides) under Caenorhabditis elegans. The record is from RNAcentral. Lineage: Eukaryota; Metazoa; Nematoda; Chromadorea; Rhabditida; Rhabditidae.
UCACUACAAUCGAAACAACUA